Small nuclear RNA from Colobus angolensis palliatus, 104 nucleotides. The record is from Ensembl. NCBI's taxonomy places the organism in Eukaryota, Metazoa, Chordata, Mammalia, Primates, Cercopithecidae.
GUGCUCAUGGUGGCAGCACAUAUACUAAAAUUGGAAUAAUACAGAGAUUAGCAUGGCCCCUGCACAAGGAUGACACGCGAACAUAUGAAGUGGUUCAUGUCUUU